This 425-nucleotide ribosomal RNA is filed under the name uncultured bacterium. Its description in RNAcentral is "partial 16S ribosomal RNA". It matches the Rfam family "Bacterial small subunit ribosomal RNA", at positions 354 to 796 of the family's 1533-position model. The record is from RNAcentral.
GUGGGGAAUAUUGGACAAUGGGCGAAAGCCUGAUCCAGCAAUGCCGCGUGAGUGAUGAAGGCCUUAGGGUUGUAAAGCUCUUUUACCAGGGAUGAUAAUGACAGUACCUGGAGAAUAAGCUCCGGCUAACUCCGUGCCAGCAGCCGCGGUAAUACGGAGGGAGCUAGCGUUGUUCGGAAUUACUGGGCGUAAAGCGCACGUAGGCGGUUACUCAAGUCAGAGGUGAAAGCCCGGGACUCAACCCCGGAACUGCCUUUGAAACUAGGUAACUAGAAUCUUGGAGAGGUCAGUGGAAUUCCGAGUGUAGAGGUGAAAUUCGUAGAUAUUCGGAAGAACACCAGUGGCGAAGGCGACUGACUGGACAAGUAUUGACGCUGAGGUGCGAAAGCGUGGGGAGCAAACAGGAUUAGAAACCCGGGUAGUCC